AGGGGCGUGGCGCAAUUGGUAGCGCACCGGUCUCCAAAACCGGGGGUUGCAGGUUCGAGUCCUGUCGCCCCUG
Molecule: transfer RNA, 73 nt
Filed under: Thermoleophilia bacterium
Lineage: Bacteria; Bacillati; Actinomycetota; Thermoleophilia
Also listed under: 8 other names
Description: tRNA-Trp
Rfam family: tRNA
About the family: Transfer RNA (tRNA) molecules are approximately 80 nucleotides in length. Their secondary structure includes four short double-helical elements and three loops (D, anti-codon, and T loops).
Source: RNAcentral